CACACAUAAUGACAUUAAUUUUUCAUGGAUUCCAUACCAAAUACUUGUAUCAAAUACAUCUCAGACCUGCAGGAAUUAAAAGGACCACCUUUCAUUCAAAGUUUCUCAGCUCAAAACAGAGAAUCUCGAGCCACCCGUUCCAAUGACAACACUACAAUAAAAUUCCGCUUGUCGUAAAUUUAUUUUGUUGUAAAUGGAUAUUGUUAAGGCAGAGAUUAACAGAUUCUUGAUUACUAAUGGGUGUCAAGGUUUAUGGGGAGAAGGCAGGAGAAUUUGGUUGAGAAGGAAAGGUAGAUCAGUCAUGAUUGAAUGGCUGAGUAGACUAGUUGUGCCGAAUGGCCUAAUUCUCCUCAACCAUUGUUUUCUCAAUUGACCAAAUGCUGUGUUGCCACAUCGAGGGAGAUACUGAAUCUCACCAUUGAUGAUUGCCUUUGCAAGAGAUAUGGGAAGUUGUUUAUAUAUUCCACGACAUAGCCACAAACCUUUAUUGUUAGAGGAUGGUGUUGUGCAGUGGUGAGCAGAUUGAUUCCAGACCUUGGUCUUGCAAGUGUUGAAUGUAACGUCAAUUCUCUCACAUUUAUUGUUGGAUGAAUCAACAAGGUCCAGUGCUCAUCUUUCAACUAUGUGCCAAUGCACGUGUAAUUUGCGUGUGGCUGCAGGACUGCGGAUGAUUGGAUGACUUUGUUCUGAAGUGUGGUCACUUUAGGGUUGAAUGGUAUCGGCAUUUGUUCUGAAGAUUAGCUCUAACUUGGUCACUGGAAAAUUGUGAAGGUGGCCGAGAGAGAUUGAGAAAAAAAGCUGGAACAAUGACAGCCUCAUUUACACCGAACAUCAUUGAGGUUGGUUCUCUUGUAAACCCGUCGGUUAGACCCAUCUUUUGCAUGCCAUCAUGGAAAAAAAGGUAAGACUGAGACAUAUGUAUAUGAUGAAUUUGAUGAGGCUGUGCCAUAACUCCAACCAAUUGAUGGAGUCAAAGUUAAAGUGAGGCCAAAGAAGGUGCUGCUCCUUGCAUUUUUCUUGGAGUUCUUAUGUGUUAAAGAUCAGGUCCAUCAUAGUUCCAGAUGGACUGAAUCAGGGAACAGCUCUUUAAACAGUGGGAAGAAGUGUUUGCGUAGGGCCCUGAUGAUAACUUUCCUUGUCACCAGAAAGAUUCCUCUGCAGUAAUCACAGUUUAACCUGCCUUUCUUGAAGAUGAUGAUGUAAUGGCAUUGAUUAAUUAAUUGGUUGAUUGAUUGGAAGAUACAGGAUGGAAACAGGCACUUUGACCAACAGAGUCCCCACUGACCAUUGAUCACCCAUUCUUACUAGUUCUAUGUUAUCCCACUUUCACGCCCACGCCCUACGCAAUUUACAAAGACCAAUCAACCGACAACCUGCACAGCAUGGGGAAGUGGGAGGAAACUGUAGCAUCUCUGUGGUCAUAGGGAGAAUGUGAAAACUCCACACAGACAGCACCGAGGUCAGGUUUGAAACCGGGUCUAUGGUGCUGUGAGGCUUCUCGGAUACUCCCUGCUAUAUCCUGCAAUAUGAAAUGGACAAUGAGACUGUGCAUAUACAACUGAAAUUGUCACCCAAUACUUUGUGUUUACUAACCAAAAGUGCCAAUUCUAACUUCUUCGGGAUAUCUACACAUCUCCAAUACUUGGAAAGUUACUCUACUACACAGUAAGGCAUUCAACAAGCUUCAGCAUGGUAGGCUGUUCUGCAAGGAUAGAUCACAUGGGAUCUAUGGAGAGAUAGCUGAAUAGAUAGCAGAUUGGCUUUAUGGAAGGAAGCAGAGGGUGAUGGUGGAAGUUUGCUUCUCGGACUGGAGGCCUGUUACUAGUGGUGUGCCUCAGGUUUUGGUGCUGGGUCAAUUACUGUUUGUCAUCUACAUCAAUGAUUUGGAUGAGAACAUACAGGGCAAGAUUAGCAAGUUUGGUGAUGAUACAAAAGUUAGUGGUUUUGCUGAUAGUGAAGAUGGUUGUGAACAGUGGCGGACUGGCCAGGGUGUCAGCUUGCCCGAUGGCAAGUGGGCUCCUGAUGAAGUGAUAGCAAGUGAUGGCAAGUGGGCCCCUGUUAAAUGAUAGCAUUGUAGUUGUGGGUGGGCCCCCUUUGUCUCCUGGCAACCAAUAUUUUUAGACCCAGUCCGCCACUGGUUGUGAAAGAUUGUAGCAGGAUCUGGAUCGAUUGGCCAGGUGGGCUGAGGAAUGGUUGAUGGAAUUUAAUACAGAGAAGUGUGAGGUGUUGCAUUUUGGGACAUUUAACAAGGGCAUGACCUUCACAAUAAAUGGUAGGCCUCUGGCGAGUGUUGUAGAACAGAGGGAUCUAUGAGUGCAGGCGCAUGGUUUCUUGAAGUUCGAGUCACAGGUAGAUAGGGUGGUCAAAAAGGCUUUUGGCUCAUUGGUCUUCAUCAGUCAGAGCAUUGAGUAUAGAAGUUGGGAGGUCAUGUUACAGUUGUAUAAGACUUUGGUGAGACCGCAUUUAGAAUAUUGUGUUCAGUUCUGGGCACCAUGUUAUAGGAAAGAUAUUGUCAAGCUUGAAAGGGUUCAGAAAAGAUUUAUGAAGAUGAUGCCCGGUCUAGAGCUAUAGGGAGAGGUUGAGUAAGCUUGGUCUCUAUUCGUUAGAGUGCAGGAGGAUGAGGGGUGAUCUUAUAGAGGUGUACAAAAUCAUGAGAGGAAUAGAUCGGGUAGAUGCACUGAGUCUCUUGCCCAGAGUAGGGGAAUCGAGGACCAAAUGACAUAGGUUCAAGGUGAAGGGGAAAAGAUUUAUUAGGAAUCUGAAGGGUAACUUUUUCACACAAAUGGUGGUGGGUGUAUGGAACAAGCUGCCAGAGGAGGUAGUUGAGGACGGGACCAUCACAUCGUUUAAGAAACAAUUAGACAGGUACAUGGAUAAGACAGGUUUGGAGGGAUAUGGACCAAGUGCAGGCCCGUGGGACUAGUGUAGCUGGGACAUUGUUGGCCAGUGGGCAAGUUGGGCCAAAGGGCCUGUUUCCACACUGUAUCACUCUAUGACUCUAUGACUGUGAUUAGCAGGUGUAGGAAGGAAUUGGUUUAUACUAAUGAUAAACACAAAAUUCUGGUGUAACUCAAUGGGCCAGGCAACAUCUCUGGAGAAAAAUAAUAGGUGAUGUUUCAGGUCGGAACUCUUCAGACUGAAUGUAGAGGUGGGGUUGGAAGAACAAAUUCCUGGCAGGCAAUAAGGCGGAGCCCAUAAUGAUCCAUUGUUGACUGGGGAAGGUGUGAUAACAAGAGAUAUACAAGGAUGUGAACAGUGGAACUGGAAGUACGGCUAGGGUAUGUGAAGGGGGGAGAGGCAGGAGAGAGAGGAGGGGAAGGAAUGGAAUGCAUGAGUUACUUUAAAUUAGAGAAAUCACUGUUCAUGCCACUGGGUUGUAAACUGACCAAGUGAAAUAUGAAGUGUUGUCCUCCAAGUUGCAUCUAACUUCUUGGUCUCGCUAAUUUUAAAUUCUGAACAUGGCUGUGAAUUCAGUAACCAAAGCUUUGGAAUUCCCUUCCUGUAACACCUCAACAACUUGUGUUUUCUUCUAUAAGACAUUCCAUAAAAUGUACUUAAUUUAUCCCAAUUAAUGGCUUGUUGACAAUUUAUUUCAAUAACGUUCCUCUGAGAUGCCUGGGGACUUUUACUCAUUAGAAAUGUUGUUCUUGGAAGAGUUUUUUAAAUAUCUAGAAUUAUAACUGUUGUUUAUGUCAUAUAUAGUUUGCAAAAUAAUUCAGUAAUGUAGUCUGUCAUUUUCCUGGCUUUCCCUUCAGUUCUACUCAAAACAGCAACACACAGGUAAAAGUCAGCCUUGACUAGGAUUACGCACUAACAUUUUUAAACAUUAAAAAACCUUAUCCUUGAGAAUAAAGUACUGCCAGGAAGCAUCAAGAUUAGUUUGCAAACUGAUUAUUUUAAAAACUAUGUGUAUUCUGAAUGGAAAGUAAAAAUAUUCAUAAUUUUUCUGCCAUUUAAAAAGAAAGUUGCCUUCAAUUUCUAGACGGAAAAUAAAUUAGAUUGGUUUCCAGAGGAGAAAAUAUGCCAUUAAAAUUAACAGUUUAACCAUCACAAAGAGCUCGUAUACAUGCAACAGGCUGAAUGACUGUCCACUCUGCCAUAUGAUUGUAUAAAAGGAUGGCAUAAGUUCAUGAGUACUCCAACAUAUGGACAAGCAGUUUACAAGAACAUUUCAAGGACAAACUUGACUUUAUUGAUUUUAACUUCAAUUGACAGUCAUUUCUUCAGCACUGUUAAAAUAUCCUGAUACAAACGGUGGCAAAAUUGAAGUAUCUAAUGAAAUUUAACUAAGUUUUAUUUUGAAAGAAACGAUCAGCAAACAACUGGAGUAAUAAUGGAACCUUGGCAAAGAAAAAAAAGCUUGAAAAUAAACCCAAGAAAAAAACAGCACCAAUUGAAUAAUUCACAGAUGGAGCCUAGUAAAAACAGACCCAUAGACUGAAGAAGGGUCCCGACCCGAAACAUUACAUAUUCAUGUGCACCAGAGAUACUGCCUGACCUGCUGUGUUACUCCAGUACAUUGCGUUUUUUUUUGUUAACCAGCAUCUGCAGUUUAACUGUACUUAAAAGUUUAGAAUUACAGCAUAGAAACAAGCCAUUUGGCCCACUGAGAUCGCACCGACCAGUGGUGGCCCCAUAGACUAGCAUCAUCCUAUAUGCUAGGGACAAUUUCCAUAAGCCAAUUAACUUACAUAGGGUGCUCCUGUUUUAUCCCACACUCCAAAAACAUACAGAUUUCUAGGUUGUCCAGGAAGGAACUUCAGAUGCUGGUUUACACCGAAGAUAGACACAAAAUGUUGGAAUAACUCAGCGGGACAGGCACCAUUGGCUGUCCCAUUUAAUUACUCCAGCAUUUUGUAUCUAUCUUCAGGUUUGUAGGUAAAUUGGCUCGGUGAAAACCCACAAGGAGAAUGUACACGUACAUGCACAGGUACUACACGUAGUCAGGAUCGAACCCAGGUCUCUGGCGCUGUAAGGCAGCAAAUCUCCCACUGCGCUACUGUGGCCCUCUUAAGACUUUUCUUGUUCAUUCACAGGAUGUUGGUUCUACCAGCAUGGCAGCAUUUUUUGCCCAUUCUCAGGUGGCCCAGAACCAGGUAUAGAAUUUCAUAGUAACCAAGCAGCAAUGGAUAUAUCUAGAGAGGGUAAGAGGGCAGAAGAAUUUUCAGUCAGUGCAGGCCUUGUUUCUAUGGGUUUAUAGUCACAUAAAGGCCAGGUCAAUGUGACGUUAGAUGACUAUGCCAGAUUUAUUGUUGAAACAAUCUGAGAGAUCAAUAGAAAAGGAACAUGUUGAACGGUUGCUUUUUUUAUUACAUCUUCAAUAAGUUAUACUCCUAACUGAAGAUGUUCAUGAACAGAGAUGAGAAAAAAUGCACACUUUUAGAAAACCCGAGAAACACAAUAUUCAGUCUUAUAUUUGUUCUUCUGGAGUGUGGUGAUAAAAGUUGAAAACAAUAUUUAAUUUAAUUUGUACAUGCUAACCACUUAUGAAGUUCAAUCCAGAUAGAGUCAUAGAGCCAUACACCACAGAAGCAGGCCCUUUGGCCCAACUUGUCCAUGCCAGCAAGGUGCCUCAGCUAAGCGAGUCCUAUUUGCCUGUGUUUGUCCCACAUCUCUCUCAACCUUUCGUAUCCAUGUAUCUGUCCAAGUGUCUCUUCAAUGCUGUUAUAGUACCUGCCUCAACUACCGCCUCUGAUAGUUCAAUACUUAUAUGAGGGCGACAGAUAGCACAAUGGGCUAAGAGUUCGGCUGGCGACCGGAAGGUAGCCGGUUCAAAUCCCGCUUGGAGUGCAUACUGUCGUUGUGUCCUUGGGCAAGACACUUCACCCACCUUUGCCUGUAAUGGAAUGGCGGCAGGCGCGGGCACACCGCGACGCCCUGUGUCUCCCUUUCAAGGGAGAUGCUAAAAA
This is a long non-coding RNA of Leucoraja erinaceus (little skate), 5909 nucleotides long. RefSeq lists it as uncharacterized. The record is from RefSeq and is a predicted model, not a curated record. NCBI's taxonomy places the organism in Eukaryota, Metazoa, Chordata, Chondrichthyes, Rajiformes, Rajidae. The transcript has 2 exons.